GUAAGAGUGAAAUCCAGCUGGCAAGGAGUUGCAGUAAUGCAAAUGGAAUAAUAUGAGUGAAUGAAAAGGAAACAUCAACAUAAUUUGUGAACUUGCUUUGAGCUACAUUCUUGGCUAGGGUUGCUUGAGUACAUAGAAAAAUGUAAUCUUCAAGGUGAAAGCUCACUGUAAAUGGGACACUAUCAGCAGUUAUAAAGCAGCAUUGUCAUGGUUUGUUUCGUCUUGUCUCUCAGUAUUCAUAUCCUUAUGCCCCUUGCAGCUAAUUGAUUAUGCUGCCC
This is a non-coding RNA of Pelobates cultripes (western spadefoot toad), 278 nucleotides long. NCBI's taxonomy places the organism in Eukaryota, Metazoa, Chordata, Amphibia, Anura, Pelobatidae. The record is from the annotation of a GenBank genome assembly.